UGCUAUUCCUAAAUAAUUCUUAACAUGGUUAAGGUCACAACUCUUGAAACUCCAUAUAAUCCUUGCUCCACUCAAAUCCUUUUUAUUCCAAUUCCUUAAAUAAAAUAAGAAGAAGCGAUCCAAAAUACGUAUAUGUACCCAGGUUUGAAUACAUUUUUACGUUAAUGGAUCGAACCAUAAUUAAAUGUGUGGAUCUGUGGUUAUAUUAUCGGUUUUAGUCCUAUGUAAAAAUUAUUACUGUACGAAGCCACUAUUUGGAAACGAAAUUGUCUAUAAGUAAGAAUCUAUCAAAGGCAAUGGAAAAUGAUAAAUUAUUUAGUAGUAUAAAUAUUUGUUUGUAAAUAGAAAU
Long non-coding RNA from Teleopsis dalmanni, 349 nucleotides. RefSeq lists it as uncharacterized. The record is from RefSeq and is a predicted model, not a curated record. NCBI's taxonomy places the organism in Eukaryota, Metazoa, Arthropoda, Insecta, Diptera, Diopsidae. The transcript has 3 exons.